RNAcentral lists this ribosomal RNA (325 nucleotides) under uncultured eukaryote. RNAcentral describes it as "partial 18S ribosomal RNA". It matches the Rfam family "Eukaryotic small subunit ribosomal RNA", at positions 1470 to 1796 of the family's 1831-position model. The record is from RNAcentral.
CCCUUAGAUGUUCUGGGCCGCACGCGCGCUACACUGAUGCAUUCAACGAGCCUAUCCUUGACCGACAGGUCCGGGUAAUCUUUGAAUCUGCAUCGUGACGGGGAUAGACUAUUGCAAUUAUUAAUCUUCAACGAGGAAUGCCUAGUAGGCGCAAGUCAUCAGCUUGCGUCGAUUACGUCCCUGCCCUUUGUACACACCGCCCGUCGCUCCUACCGAUUGGGUGUGCUGGUGAAAUGUUCGGAUCGGCCGUUUGUCGCGGUUUCCGCGUCAUGUGGCUGAGAAGUUCAUUAAACCCUCCCACCUAGAGGAAGGAGAAGUCGUAACA